ACCCGUUUAGUUUAUAUAUAAAAUAUGGCUCUGAAGAAGCUAAGAAGUUCAUUCACGGGUA
This 61-nucleotide transfer RNA is filed under the name Strongyloides papillosus. RNAcentral describes it as "tRNA-Phe". Lineage: Eukaryota; Metazoa; Nematoda; Chromadorea; Rhabditida; Strongyloididae. The record is from RNAcentral.